GCCAGGGUGGCUCAGUCGGUAAAGUGUCUGACUGUUGGUUUCAGCUCAGAUCAUGAUCUCAUGGUUUGUGGGUUUGAACCCCACAUUGGGCA
Molecule: transfer RNA, 92 nt
Filed under: Felis catus (domestic cat)
Lineage: Eukaryota; Metazoa; Chordata; Mammalia; Carnivora; Felidae
Rfam family: tRNA
About the family: Transfer RNA (tRNA) molecules are approximately 80 nucleotides in length. Their secondary structure includes four short double-helical elements and three loops (D, anti-codon, and T loops).
Source: Rfam by way of RNAcentral